ACUCAUUCAUUUAUUUUGAGGACCACAACAGUUUCUAUACCUUUUAUUUGCGCUUGCUGCCUUCUAUUUUUACCUCUCACGAUAUUUGUUGAAAAAAAUGGAAAAGGUAGUGGUUGGAGCAAACAAUGAAACGUUUUAAACGAGAAGAUUGGCAAGCUUGGAUACACCAAAAAACAAGAAGAGAGACAUUUUCGAAGAGUAAUUAUGUUAGAGGUUGAAACACCUAUGAUGAACAUGAUUGUUAGUGGAGUUGCAGCCCGUCCAUUUGUAACUCAUCACAAUGAACUUAGCAUGAAGUUAUUCAUGAGGAUUGCUCCGAAACUGUACCUUAAGCAAUUAAUUGUUGGAGGGUUGGAUGGUGUUUAUGAAAUUUGGUCAUUUACUAUUUUGUUACAUGUCUAAUUAUUUCCUUCAUUUGAUUGUUUGUCCUGGUAAUAAGUAAAUAAGUAAUUAUUAAUAUUUUUCUUGUGUUAUAUCUAAGUUGAAUAACUUCAUUUUCUUCUAGGCCUCAUAUAUCCUUCCAUCUAAUUUUGAAAAGGUGGCAGCUGGAGUAUUGAUGGUGCUGAACAAUGUGGCUUUUUUGGAUCUUGUAUUUUUGCAACAAAUGUUGGCUAGGCCAGAUUUGAAAAUGAAAAUUUUCCAUUUAAUGAGCUUCCUUCUCUCUCAAUGUGCCAACAAGUAGAAAGCUCCUAAUGAUCAGGUGAAUCUCUAACAACUUAGGACUAUUUUGUCAUUUAACUUCUUUGUUUUUUUUUAGUUUCCUGAUUUUAAAGAUUUUUCUAAGAAAUUUUUGAAAAUGGGUAAUAAAAUUGAAGCAUGGUGACUUUUUUUAUUAUAUUUAUUGUGAAAAUUAAAAUAGAAAUAGAAAAAAAAUUCUUUUAAACUAAGUAGGGCCUUAGAUAUCUAAUGUGUCUAUUUGAAUAGCCAAAACAAAAUUUAGUUUUUUUAUCAUGUGGAAUAGUAUAAUGAUAUAUAAUGAUCACUUCAUUUACUUGUGACUAAACUUUUACAAAUGAACAUGAUGUUUCUAACACACAUCCAAUUUUACAUUAAUUUGUCGGUUAAACCUUUGUUGAGAAAAUGGAAAAGAGUCAUUGAAGAGUUGCUAGAUCCUCAAGUCAAGUGCAAUUCGAGUUACACGGAUCAAGUGGCUCGCAUGAUUGAUGUUGUAGUUGCCUAUGUUACAAGUGAAGAAUAUAGGAGACCUAGCAUAGGUGAGAUUGUUGCAAUAUUGAAAGGUGAAGUAGAGCUUGUUCUCUCUAGAAGAAGGAAGUCUAGUUAUUUUGGCAAUGGAUAUGUGAUUGAUUAUUACCAUCAAUUACAAGAAACAAAUAAUGAGAUGAAAAGUCAAUUGGCUUUGACAAUGCUAAGAGUUCUAGAGUGUGAGGAUGAUGAUUUUCUCUAUGGUCAUUGAGAAUUAUUUUUGCCAUGAUUCUAACAAUAAUGUAAGGAUUACAUGUGAAUGUUUUUAAGUUGUUAGUAGAAAUAAAAGCUUCGAAGAAUGUACUUCUUGUUUGUACA
Molecule: long non-coding RNA, 1521 nt
Organism: Glycine soja
Lineage: Eukaryota; Viridiplantae; Streptophyta; Magnoliopsida; Fabales; Fabaceae
Exons: 5
Source: RefSeq, a predicted model, not a curated record